AUCCCAUGCUGAGGACACUUACUAAGUAACUCUUUGAAUCUCUUUCAUGCCUCAUACAAGGAAUCAUCAUCCAAUUGUUGGAAGUGGUGAUCUCAUUUCGCAACUU
Gossypium raimondii (Peruvian cotton) is the source of this 106-nucleotide non-coding RNA. Lineage: Eukaryota; Viridiplantae; Streptophyta; Magnoliopsida; Malvales; Malvaceae. The record is from Rfam.